This 253-nucleotide ribosomal RNA is filed under the name uncultured bacterium. RNAcentral describes it as "partial 16S ribosomal RNA". It matches the Rfam family "Bacterial small subunit ribosomal RNA", at positions 524 to 776 of the family's 1533-position model. The record is from RNAcentral.
UACGGAGGGAGCUAGCGUUGUUCGGAAUUACUGGGCGUAAAGCGCGCGUAGGCGGCCUUGCAAGUUAGAGGUGAAAGCCCGGAGCUCAACUCCGGAACUGCCUUUAAAACUGCAUAGCUUGAAUCCGGGAGAGGUGAGUGGAAUUCCGAGUGUAGAGGUGAAAUUCGUAGAUAUUCGGAAGAACACCAGUGGCGAAGGCGGCUCACUGGACCGGUAUUGAUGCUGAGGUGCGAAAGCGUGGGGAGCAAACAGG